UGUCUUCCAGAGUGUUUAACUGAAUAAUAGAAGCUCAUUGUGUUCUUUCUUUCUUUCUCAAAAAUUGCCAACUUGAGUUUCCUUUUCUAUUUCCAUUUCCAGAGAAACUAGAAAACCUUAGAAGUAGGUAAAGAUAAUUAAAGAUAACUUUAAAUAGUACUUUAAGAUAAUUAUAUUAUAGAUAUUAUAGAUAAUUCACUAAUUUGUCACUAAUGUAUUAAACUAUUAAUUUGACAAUUUAGGGACCAAAAUGAGAAUUCGCCUUUCUCUUAUUACAUGCAACUUCUCUUUCUAUCUUUCCUUUCUUUUUUCUUUUUUUCUUUUUUUCUUUUUUUACUCUAACUCACUUUUCUCUCUAGUUUUUUUAUUUCUUUAAUUCUUCACCAAAUUCACCAAACUUGUGUCUAAAAUGGCAAGCUCUUCAUCAUACUCCAUAAAUCACACUCCAUCUGCACCAAAUUAGGAUUUUUCGUUGCUAAUGUCACACCAAAAUAACUAGAGUUUAGUCAAAGGAAAGAAAAUUUCUAUUUUGGUUGAAUUAAACAUGCAUCGGGCUUUAUCUGUUGUGCAUGAGAUGAUGUGGUAACUAUUCGCUUGUUUAGUAACUUUUAUGGGGCUUAAGAGUGGUUUAACAAGCUACCAUAGGUGGUUCGAGCCUGGAUUAAGGACACUAGAAUUUGCCAUUUUAUGGCUACUUUGCCUUCUUCUGUUGGAAGGACCAACCACACUUUGAUUUAUGCUCUAGCAGAGAAGUGGAUGGACAUCAUUCAUACGUUCACAAGUCAACAAGCUAACACUAUCCUCUCUUUCCUAUGUAUUAUUAAGAGAAUUGACUUCUCAAAUACACCUAUUCCUUUUGAUGAUGUGGUUCACGAGCAAUGCUUUGUUGUUCAUGAUAACUAUAUGAUGGAGUUUCUCGAAAUGUUGCCUACUCGCAAGAGCACUUGGUGCCUAGCUUACAAGAGUAUCACGGUCUACUAUAAGGUAUUCGAGCCUCAGUCUUCUAGAGAAGUGGAUCAGAUGGUCUGAACCUUUCUUGUUUAUCUUUUCAGGACCAUCUUUUUUUGUGAUUCAGAUAGCUCCUUUGAUCUUGACUACCUUGCCCUUCUCUAAGACUUUUACCAUUUCUCUUUUUAUAAUUGAGAAGCUGAUACACUAGAUAAUUUAUACUAGCAAUUGGAUGUCACCAUCCGCAAGAGCAAAAGAUUAUGUGGAUUAUGACAUGCUAUUCAUGUAUAUCUUCUUUUAUUUAUUGCCUCUCUUUUGUGUUUUCCUUUAUUAUCGUCUUUGGUGCUGACUAAUUGGAUGCAUAUAUAAGCACUAGAGCUUGGAUUGUUGAUAGUUGCUAAACCUUUUUUGCAUAGAUAGAUCUUCUUCUCUCUUGAGUUGGUGGGGCCCGAGCCGUACUGUGUCUUUCGAAUGGGCACAGAUUCAAACACAUUGCAUGUGGAUCAAUGCAUUGACCUAGGAUAAAGUAAACACUUUAUUAGUUUAUAUUUAAAUAGUUGAGUAUAGAUAUAUUUACCACAUUCAGCGUGUCUAUAGAUUCACGCAGAUUGGCUUAGGGACCAGAGUCAUUGAGAUAUUCGCUGCAAACAUUGAGUUUACGAGGAUUAUGCUCCUUAGACCUACUUGUAGGAUAUGGUAUUUAGGGGAGCACAUUUGUAGUUGGAAGAGAGGUCCUACCCUUCAACGUGUACCUUCCUCACUACCUUCUUUAAUGUUUUGGAUGAUGAAUCUUUCUGAUGAGGAGCUAGAAAAAUGCCUUAAAGGCUUUGAGGAUUUUGAGGAGGCCACCAUUAGAACAAAGUCUAGCAGGUCUGGAGCAUCUAGGAGGUCUGAGUCGGGAAACACAUGACCUUACCAACAACCAAGAGCUGCUCUUAUAUUAGGUUUUCCUAUAACUACUACCAUGGAACCUUCGCUAUUAAUAGUACCCAACAUCAUUCUUGGGACCAUCCCUUUUCUCUUAGAACUUAUUGUGUGCUAUUUGACUCCUACGGGCUCAGCCGAGCCUCAAUUAGACUUGGGCGCAUCUUUUCAGCCUGAUUUCUUUCUUGGUGAUUGCAGACGUGUAAUCUUUUUGGCCUAAUUUCUUCUCGAUGAUUGCAGACAUGUAGUUUAUCUUCUUUUGUUGUUUUUCAAGUUAUUUGCUUUCAUGAAAUGGGUUAGUGAUAUCUAUACAGUAUAUACAGAUUUAGAGAUAUUUCGGUGUUGUAAGCAAGUGCACCAAUUUACCACUAUCUCCAAGAGACAUUUCGGUGUUGUAAGCAAGGAAUGGAGAAUAUGUUAAAAUGAAAAUGCAUGAUUUAUAUGUUCUGAUA
Ricinus communis (castor bean) is the source of this 2324-nucleotide long non-coding RNA. RefSeq lists it as uncharacterized. The transcript is spliced from 3 exons. The record is from RefSeq and is a predicted model, not a curated record. NCBI's taxonomy places the organism in Eukaryota, Viridiplantae, Streptophyta, Magnoliopsida, Malpighiales, Euphorbiaceae.